RNAcentral lists this transfer RNA (75 nucleotides) under Arthrobacter phage VroomVroom. RNAcentral describes it as "tRNA-Trp". It matches the Rfam family "tRNA". From Rfam's summary of the family: Transfer RNA (tRNA) molecules are approximately 80 nucleotides in length. Their secondary structure includes four short double-helical elements and three loops (D, anti-codon, and T loops). The record is from RNAcentral. Lineage: Duplodnaviria; Heunggongvirae; Uroviricota; Caudoviricetes; Casidaviridae.
GGGAAGAUAGCUCCAAUUGGUAGAGCAGGGGACUCCAAAUCCUCAGGUUCCAGGUUCGAGUCCUGGUCGUCCCGC